GAUGAACGCUGGCGGCGUGCCUAAUACAUGCAAGUCGAGCGAACAGAUGAGGAGCUUGCUCCUCUGACGUUAGCGGCGGACGGGUGAGUAACACGUGGAUAACCUACCUAUAAGACUGGGAUAACUUCGGGAAACCGGAGCUAAUACCGGAUAAUAUAUUGAACCGCAUGGUUCAAUAGUGAAAGACGGUUUUGCUGUCACUUAUAGAUGGAUCCGCGCCGCAUUAGCUAGUUGGUAAGGUAACGGCUUACCAAGGCAACGAUGCGUAGCCGACCUGAGAGGGUGAUCGGCCACACUGGAACUGAGACACGGUCCAGACUCCUACGGGAGGCAGCAGUAGGGAAUCUUCCGCAAUGGGCGAAAGCUUGACGGAGCAACGCCGCGUGAGUGAUGAAGAUCUUCGGAUCGUAAAACUCUGUUAUUAGGGAAGAACAAAUGUGUAAGUAACUAUGCACGUCUUGACGGUACCUAAUCAGAAAGCCACGGCUAACUACGUG
RNAcentral lists this ribosomal RNA (497 nucleotides) under uncultured bacterium. Its description in RNAcentral is "partial 16S ribosomal RNA". It matches the Rfam family "Bacterial small subunit ribosomal RNA", at positions 28 to 507 of the family's 1533-position model. The record is from RNAcentral.